CCUACGGGUGGCAGCAGUGAGGAAUAUUGGUCAAUGGGCGAGAGCCUGAACCAGCCAAGUAGCGUGAAGGAUGACUGCCCUAUGGGUUGUAAACUUCUUUUAUAUGGGAAUAAAGUGGUCCACGUGUGGGAUUUUGUAUGUACCAUAUGAAUAAGGAUCGGCUAACUCCGUGCCAGCAGCCGCGGUAAUACGGAGGAUCCGAGCGUUAUCCGGAUUUAUUGGGUUUAAAGGGAGCGUAGGUGGAUUGUUAAGUAAGUUGUGAAAGGUUGGAGCUUAACCGGGAAACUGCAUGUGAAACUGGCAGUCUUGAGUACAGUAGAGGUGGGCGGAAUGCGUGGUGUAGCGGUGAAAUGCUUAGAGAUCACGCAGAACUCCGAUUGCGAAGGCAGCUUACCGGACUGCAACUGACACUGAGGCUCGAAAGCGUGGGUAUCAAACAGGAUUAGAUACCCUUGUAGUC
This 460-nucleotide ribosomal RNA is filed under the name uncultured bacterium. RNAcentral's name for it is "partial 16S ribosomal RNA". It matches the Rfam family "Bacterial small subunit ribosomal RNA", at positions 338 to 795 of the family's 1533-position model. The record is from RNAcentral.